This 253-nucleotide ribosomal RNA is filed under the name uncultured bacterium. RNAcentral describes it as "partial 16S ribosomal RNA". It matches the Rfam family "Bacterial small subunit ribosomal RNA", at positions 524 to 776 of the family's 1533-position model. The record is from RNAcentral.
UACGUAGGGUGCAAGCGUUAAUCGGAAUUACUGGGCGUAAAGCGUGCGCAGGCGGUUUUGUAAGUCUGACGUGAAAUCCCCGGGCUCAACCUGGGAAUUGCGUUGGAGACUGCAAGGCUGGAGUCUGGCAGAGGGGGGUAGAAUUCCACGUGUAGCGGUGAAAUGCGUAGAUAUCAGGAGGAACACCGGUGGCGAAAGCGCUCAUCUGGCCCAAUACUGACGCUGAGGCGCGAAAGCUAGGGGAGCAAACGGG